GGGAUGUAGUUCAGUUGGUAGAGUGCUUGCCUUCUAUGCACAAGGUCCUGGGUUCAAUCCCCAGAUCCCG
RNAcentral lists this transfer RNA (70 nucleotides) under Ictidomys tridecemlineatus (thirteen-lined ground squirrel). RNAcentral describes it as "Spermophilus tridecemlineatus (thirteen-lined ground squirrel) tRNA". It matches the Rfam family "tRNA". Rfam says of the family: Transfer RNA (tRNA) molecules are approximately 80 nucleotides in length. Their secondary structure includes four short double-helical elements and three loops (D, anti-codon, and T loops). The record is from Rfam by way of RNAcentral. Lineage: Eukaryota; Metazoa; Chordata; Mammalia; Rodentia; Sciuridae.